RNAcentral lists this unclassified non-coding RNA (281 nucleotides) under rhizosphere metagenome. Its description in RNAcentral is "partial ribosomal RNA internal transcribed spacer region". The record is from RNAcentral.
GUAGGUGAACCUGCGGAAGGAUCAUUACCAAAUCCAAAACCUUAUCAACACCUAAACAUGUGCACUGAGAGUGGUCCGUUCUCCCGCGCCUUUUCCUUCUCCUCCUCGCUAUAUACCCUCCCCCUCGCGGGGAGGGGCAAGCGAACGAGGGGGGAGGAUGCCGGGGUGGGAGAGCGUUUUUUUUCCAACCCCUUUUCAACCAUUACCUUAACCAUGUGAUGCUGAAAGCAAAACAAAAACGAAACAUGAGACAACUUUUAACGGUGGAUCUCUUGGCUCGU